GCUCGCUUCGGCAGCCAUAUACUAAAUGGAACGAUACAGAGAAGAUUAGCAUGGCCUGCGAGGAUGAAUCUUAAGACUGUCCAUGUUACCUACAGGAUU
Molecule: small nuclear RNA, 99 nt
Filed under: Canis lupus familiaris (dog)
Lineage: Eukaryota; Metazoa; Chordata; Mammalia; Carnivora; Canidae
Source: RNAcentral